UAGGGAAUCUUCGGCAAUGGACGAAAGUCUGACCGAGCAACGCCGCGUGAGUGAAGAAGGUUUUCGGAUCGUAAAACUCUGUUGUUAGAGAAGAACAAGGACGUUAGUAACUGAACGUCCCCUGACGGUAUCUAACCAGAAAGCCACGGCCAACUACGUGCCAGCAGCCGCGGUAAUACGUAGGUGGCAAGCGUUGUCCGGAUUUAUUGGGCGUAAAGCGAGCGCAGGCGGUUUCUUAAGUCUGUUGUGAAAGCCCCCGGCUCAACCGGGGAGGGUCAUUGGAAACUGGGAGACUUGAGUGCAGAAGAGGAGGGUGGAAUUCCAUGUGUAGCGGUGAAAUGCGUAGAUAUAUGGAGGAACACCAGUGGCGAAGGCGGCUCUCUGGGCUGUAACUGACGCUGAGGCUCGAAAGCGUGGGGAGCAAACAGG
This 429-nucleotide ribosomal RNA is filed under the name Gemmatimonadota bacterium. RNAcentral's name for it is "Gemmatimonadetes bacterium partial 16S ribosomal RNA". It matches the Rfam family "Bacterial small subunit ribosomal RNA", at positions 355 to 776 of the family's 1533-position model. The record is from RNAcentral. Lineage: Bacteria; Pseudomonadati; Gemmatimonadota.